CCACUGUUCAGUUGGUAGAGUGCAAAGCUCUUAACCUUGUGGACGUGGGUUCGAGCCCCAUGGUGGG
Triticum aestivum (bread wheat) is the source of this 67-nucleotide non-coding RNA. The record is from Rfam. NCBI's taxonomy places the organism in Eukaryota, Viridiplantae, Streptophyta, Magnoliopsida, Poales, Poaceae.